RNAcentral lists this ribosomal RNA (467 nucleotides) under uncultured bacterium. RNAcentral's name for it is "partial 16S ribosomal RNA". It matches the Rfam family "Bacterial small subunit ribosomal RNA", at positions 28 to 507 of the family's 1533-position model. The record is from RNAcentral.
GAUGAACGCUGGCGGCGUGCCUAACACAUGCAAGUCGAACGGAAAGGCCCAAGCUUGCUUGGGUACUCGAGUGGCGAACGGGUGAGUAACACGUGGGUGAUCUGCCCUGCACUUCGGGAUAAGCCUGGGAAACUGGGUCUAAUACCGGACAGGACGAUGGUUUGGAUGCCAUUGUGGAAAGGGUUUUCGGUGUGGGAUGAGUUCGCGGCCUAUCAGCUUGUUGGUGUGGUAAUGGCCUACCAAGGCGUCGACGGGUAGCCGGCCUGAGAGGGUGUACGGCUACAGUGGGACUGAGACACGGCCCAGACGCCUACGGGAGGGAGCAGUAGGGAAUAUUGAGCAAGGGGCGCAAGCCUGAUGCAGCGACGCCGCGUGGGGGAUGACGGCCUUCGGGUUGUAAACUCCUUUCGCUAGGGACGAAGCGUUUUGUGACGGUACCUGGAGAAGAAGCACCGGCUAACUACGUG